Molecule: ribosomal RNA, 292 nt
Filed under: uncultured eukaryote
Lineage: Eukaryota
Description: partial 18S ribosomal RNA
Rfam family: Eukaryotic small subunit ribosomal RNA
Source: RNAcentral
GGUUGAUCCUGCCAGUAGUCAUAUGCUCAUUUCGAAGACUAAGCCAUGCAUGUCUUUGUAUAAGUUGUUACAACGAAACUGCGAAUAGCUCAUUAAAACAAUUAUAGUCUAUGUGGACAUAAUUACUACACGGUUAACUGUAGUAAUCCUGGAGCUAAUACGUGAUUAAACAUUCGGUUGGAUGUCACUUAUUAGAUUUGAGCCAAAACCUACCUUUGUGUAGAGAUCUGGUGAUCCAUAAUAAGGUCGUGAAUCGCAUGGCGCAUGCUGGCGAUAUUCCACCUGAGUUUUU